This 51-nucleotide transfer RNA is filed under the name Threskiornis aethiopicus (Sacred ibis). Its description in RNAcentral is "partial tRNA-Phe". Lineage: Eukaryota; Metazoa; Chordata; Aves; Pelecaniformes; Threskiornithidae. The record is from RNAcentral.
CAAAGCAUAGCACUGAAGAUGCUAAGACGUUGCUUUUUGCAUCCAGGGACA